This 294-nucleotide long non-coding RNA is filed under the name Homo sapiens (human). RNAcentral's name for it is "non-protein coding lnc-NDFIP2-11:4". The record is from RNAcentral. Lineage: Eukaryota; Metazoa; Chordata; Mammalia; Primates; Hominidae.
GUUAAACGGCAAACUCUCUGCAUGACUGGAGAGGGUAAAGGGCCAGAGUCACAGGAGCAGUUUUACAAGCACCACAUCUGCCACACACAGGUAGCAGAAUACCACUGGAAGGUCCAAGAUCCAGGGGCCCACAUCUGCUAAGGGCUUUCAUGCCGUGUCAUCCCAUGAGGAAAGACAGAGGGGAUCCUGUUCUCUGCAAAUGCAAACAGUUCUUUUAUUACAAGGCUUUUUCAAGGGGAAGAGAAAACUCAUUUGGCAGAUAAGGUUAACCUUUUAAAAAAUCAAGUGUGUUAA